Long non-coding RNA from Magnolia sinica, 425 nucleotides. RefSeq lists it as uncharacterized. Lineage: Eukaryota; Viridiplantae; Streptophyta; Magnoliopsida; Magnoliales; Magnoliaceae. The transcript has 2 exons. The record is from RefSeq and is a predicted model, not a curated record.
CAGCCGUUCAUACUAGACCAUAUGGGUACAGCCACAAUUUUUUUUUUCCCCUUCUCGUAGUGUGGAUGCAUUUUCAUCAGGACUACUUGGCAAUAAGAGUGAGGUGGAUGAAGGGCUCAAAAGAAGGUUGAACAAGAGAAGAUACUAAGUAACCAAUUCAAGGCAAGGCAUAGCCAACAGUUGAAGGUCCAGGUAAUUUCUUUUGUAUGGGUCCUAGUUUGGGGGGGAAGUGUUUAGUUAGGAGGGUUAAAGUCAAUUUUUGUUGGAGUGGGCCACUUGGGUCAUUUCCUCUUUUAUUGAAUUGAGUUGUUACCAAAUUUGUGAUUAGGAUUCUUAUCAAACAAUAGUGUGAAUUAUUUUUUGAAUGACUAUCAGGUACAAGAUUUAAAAAAUAAUAAUAAUAAUUUAUCAAUAUAUAUUUUUUA